GACGUAGGGCGCGAGCGUUGUCCGGAUUUAUUGGGCGUAAAGAGCUCGUAGGCGGUUUGUCGCGUCGGCCGUGAAAUCUCCACGCUUAACGUGGAGCGUGCGGACGAUACGGGCAGACUUGAGUUCGGUAGGGGAGACUGGAAUUCCUGGUGUAGCGGUGAAAUGCGCAGAUAUCAGGAGGAACACCGGUGGCGAAGGCGGGUCUCUGGGCCGAUACUGACGCUGAGGAGCGAAAGCGUGGGGAGCGAACAGG
RNAcentral lists this ribosomal RNA (253 nucleotides) under uncultured bacterium. Its description in RNAcentral is "partial 16S ribosomal RNA". It matches the Rfam family "Bacterial small subunit ribosomal RNA", at positions 524 to 776 of the family's 1533-position model. The record is from RNAcentral.